Molecule: ribosomal RNA, 427 nt
Filed under: uncultured bacterium
Lineage: Bacteria
Description: partial 16S ribosomal RNA
Rfam family: Bacterial small subunit ribosomal RNA
Source: RNAcentral
UGGGGAAUAUUGGACAAUGGGCGAAAGCCUGAUCCAGCCAUGCCGCGUGUGUGAAGAAGGUCUUCGGAUUGUAAAGCACUUUAAGUUGGGAGGAAGGGCAUUAACCUAAUACGUUAGUGUUUUGACGUUACCGACAGAAUAAGCACCGGCUAACUCUGAGCCAGCAGCCGCGGUAAUACAGAGGGUGCAAGCGUUAAUCGGAAUUACUGGGCGUAAAGCGCGCGUAGGUGGUUUGUUAAGUUGGAUGUGAAAUCCCCGGGCUCAACCUGGGAACUGCAUUCAAAACUGACUGACUAGAGUAUGGUAGAGGGUGGUGGAAUUUCCUGUGUAGCGGUGAAAUGCGUAGAUAUAGGAAGGAACACCAGUGGCGAAGGCGACCACCUGGACUAAUACUGACACUGAGGUGCGAAAGCGUGGGGAGCAAACA